Salmo salar (Atlantic salmon) is the source of this 54-nucleotide non-coding RNA. The record is from Rfam. NCBI's taxonomy places the organism in Eukaryota, Metazoa, Chordata, Actinopteri, Salmoniformes, Salmonidae.
UGCAUUCACUACUGUAAGUUGCUCUGGAUAAGAGUGUCUGCAAAAUGACUAGAA